GCUAAGAAUCUUGCGCAAUGGGCGAAAGCCUGACGCAGCAAUUCCGCGUGGGGGACGAAGGCCCUCGGGUCGUAAACCCCUUUUGCGAGGGAAGAAGUUCUGACGGUACCUCGCGAAUAAGCCACGGCUAACUACGUGCCAGCAGCCGCGGUAAUACGUAGGUGGCGAGCGUUGUCCGGAUUUAUUGGGCGUAAAGAGCCCGCAGGCGGUCUGUUAAGUUUCAGGUGAAAUCUCCCGGCUCAACCGGGAGGGGUCCUGGAAAACUGGCAGACUUGAGGCAGGGAGAGGGAUGUGGAAUUCCCGGUGUAGUGGUGAAAUGCGUAGAUAUCGGGAGGAACACCAGUGGCGAAGGCGGCAUCCUGGCCCUGUCCUGACGCUCAGGGGCGAAAGCGUGGGGAGCAAACCGGAUUAGAUACCCCGGUAGUCC
Molecule: ribosomal RNA, 427 nt
Filed under: uncultured bacterium
Lineage: Bacteria
Description: bacterial SSU rRNA
Rfam family: Bacterial small subunit ribosomal RNA
Source: RNAcentral